CCCGGUGUGGCUGAUGAGGAUGUUGCCACUGAGACUGUGUGAUGCUCAGUCUGAAGUAAACGCGCUGACACACCACGG
Octodon degus (degu) is the source of this 78-nucleotide small nucleolar RNA. RefSeq annotates it as small nucleolar RNA U105B. The transcript has a single exon. Lineage: Eukaryota; Metazoa; Chordata; Mammalia; Rodentia; Octodontidae. The record is from RefSeq and is a predicted model, not a curated record.